This 1738-nucleotide long non-coding RNA is filed under the name Pomacea canaliculata. RNAcentral's name for it is "uncharacterized LOC112568288, transcript variant X3". Lineage: Eukaryota; Metazoa; Mollusca; Gastropoda; Architaenioglossa; Ampullariidae. The record is from RNAcentral.
AGGCAGGGGAGGGGUGGAAUGUUUGGAUGAUGACGUAGUAGAGGAAGUACGUGUCGCCACGACAACCAGUAGGUGACGUGAACCAGGGCUCGCCGGCUCUAUGUAGGCUCGCAGGUUCAUCUGUCACACCACAGAAAGUUAUACUCAGACGUGGAGCCAGACUACUAACCGUCAAGAAAGUUCUGUCGAGACACAGGUGCUGAACUGCAGCUGUUGUCCUUAUUGACGAAUAAAACCAGGAAUGAUUGUCCUUGACCUCCAAAUGGAAUCAGACUGUUUACCUCUAGUGAAGUAGGAAAGCGGCCAGACAUCGUAUUGGUGUUGUCAGAGUGAGAACGACAGCCACUAGUGGAGUGGAUUUUAUUUUACUUUACUAAAAAAAAAAAACCUGAACAGUGAACUGCUGCUCAUCCGUGUUGAAGUUGAACAAACGACAGGAAAUAAUAUUUACUAGAAUGAUGGGUCUCCAUAACCCUGAAGCGUCAAAGCCAAGGUUGGGACCGUCAGCUGUAGUCGCGAAAACAACCAUGGAGAAACAAGAACAACAUUAUUACCGAGGAUAUGACGGAACCCAGCACAAACUGUUUCUUGUGAGAUACCAUCGGCACAGCGCAUGUCGGCGACGACCCUGACCUGUUAUUUUCCAGAAGAUGUCAGUCAGACAAAGAAGGACAUCACUGUUUAUCAUCACAACAGCGAUCCGGGUGUUGUUCCAGACAAUGUCCUGGAGUGUAUCUGGGUGAGGGGCGAGAUCAAGUGUCUUGUUCACCCGGAAUAUGAGUUCACCAACAAUGUCACCAAUCACCUUAUUGUCAGGAUCGCGCAAGUGUCGGAGAAUUACGAGGGUAACUACAGCUGUCGGACGUCUGGCUCCCGAGUUGAGGAUAUCAAGUUCUGCGAAUUUCAUCUGCUUAAAAAUCAGCCUCUUGCUGUGCAAGCCAACCUGGCGACAAAAUUAGCUCCACCUGUUGCCAUAGUGAUCUUUCUCUUGAUUAUCUGCGUGGGUACCUGUCGUCUGUAAGCACAGGAGACUAGCUACUCUACCAAACUACGGGAAAAGGAUUGGUCAGAUGCAGUCUCGACUGUAUGUAGUGACUGAGCGAGCAGCUGAUAACCCGAGAAGACCGACGAUGUCAGACGACAGGAUGAUGAGCAACGGUUCUGCGGCGCUGCUGUCGAUCAUCAAACACAUUUGAUUAAUUAUCCAUUUCUGUAUACUGGCGAAACAGGGAAGCGGGUCAGUGAACUCAGGCCACAUUCCUCCCUAGAACGAUGGGUAUGUAAAUCUGAGAAAAGCGAGUUCUCUAACAUCUCCCUCUCCUCCCCCAACGACCUGAAGAGGCUAUUGGAUGAUCUGUACCUUACUACCUCCUUAUUAUCAUCUGCAUCUACAGCAUCAUCCUUGUUACUGUGUGAUAGUUUUACCUCUGGAAUUUGCCAUCCCUCGCUUACUUAUCAUUCGCUGGUGUCUAUCAAAUAGCUCUAAAGAGCGGAGAGUGAAAGAAUGAAAAGGACUACAAAGGACGAACUAUUUCCAUUAAUGGCAAAUGCGUUUUAGUGUUUGUUAUCGCCGUUUUAUAUUUUUGUAAUUUUGAUACUUGUGUUGAUUUUGAAGAUUUAUUGCAGAUUAUUUCGUGUCCACUUAGUGUCGCCACAUAUGUAAAUAUCGCCAUCGGUACACUUGCGGAAUGUAUCUUGCCAUUGCACGAAAUAUUUUAAGUCAAUAAACUUCUGAUUU